CCAACUGCGCGCUAACCUA
This 19-nucleotide small nuclear RNA is filed under the name Arabidopsis thaliana (thale cress). Its description in RNAcentral is "snRNA_07983". Lineage: Eukaryota; Viridiplantae; Streptophyta; Magnoliopsida; Brassicales; Brassicaceae. The record is from RNAcentral.